RNAcentral lists this non-coding RNA (29 nucleotides) under Homo sapiens (human). The record is from RNAcentral. Lineage: Eukaryota; Metazoa; Chordata; Mammalia; Primates; Hominidae.
UAAGACAGCUAGCAUAGUUCCCUCGGAGU